GAUGAAGAACGUAGCGAAAUGCGAUAAGUAGUGUGAAUUGCAGAAUUCAGUGAAUCAUCGAAUCUUUGAACGCACAUUGCGCCCGCCAGCAUUCUGGCGGGCAUGCCUGUUCGAGCGUCAUUUCAACCCUCGAGCCCCCCCGGGGGCCUCGGUGUUGGGGGACGGCACACCAGCCGCCCCCGAAAUGCAGUGGCGACCCCGCCGCAGCCUCCCCUGCGUAGUAGCACACACCUCGCACCGGAGCGCGGAGGCGGUCACGCCGUAAAACGCCCAACUUUCUUAGAGUUGACCUCGGAUCAGGUAGGAAUACCCGCUGAACUUAAGCAUAUCAAUAAGCGGAGGA
This 343-nucleotide unclassified non-coding RNA is filed under the name soil metagenome. Its description in RNAcentral is "partial contains 5.8S ribosomal RNA, internal transcribed spacer 2, and large subunit ribosomal RNA". The stretch from base 1 to 120 matches the Rfam family "5.8S ribosomal RNA", at positions 35 to 154 of the family's 154-position model. The record is from RNAcentral.